Molecule: ribosomal RNA, 477 nt
Filed under: uncultured bacterium
Lineage: Bacteria
Description: partial 16S ribosomal RNA
Rfam family: Bacterial small subunit ribosomal RNA
Source: RNAcentral
GAUUAACGCUGGCGGCGUGCAUAACACAUGCAAGUCGAACGAUGAAACUUUAAUGAACCCUUCGGGGAGAAUUAAAGCGGAUUAGUGGCGAACGGGUGAGUAACGCGUGAGUAACCUGCCUUACACAAGGGGAUAGCCUUUGGAAACGAAGAAUAAUACCCUAUAAAACCAUAAAAGCACAUGCAAUUAUGGUCAAAGUGAUAGCGGUGUAAGAUGGACUUGCGUCUGAUUAGCUAGUUGGUGAGAUAAAAGCCCACCAAGGCAACGAUCAGUAGCCGGCUUGAGAGAGUGGGCGGCCACAUUGGGACUGAGCCACGGCCCGGACUCCAACGGGAGGCAGCAGUGGGGAAUUUUGCAGAAUGGGGGAAACCCUGAUGCAGCGUCGCCGCGUGAUUAAGAAGGCCUUCGGGUUGUAAAAAUCUUUUGUAUAGGAAGAAAAUGACAGUACUAUACGAAUAAGGUCCGGCUAAUUACGUG